CGCGGCCUAUCAGCUUGUUGGUGAGGUAACGGCUCACCAAGGCGACGAUGGGUAGCUGGUCUGAGAGGAUGGUCAGCCACAUUGGGACUGAGACACUGCCCAAACUCCUACGGGAGGCUGCAGUCGAGAAUAUUUCGCAAUGGGGGAAACCCUGACGAUGCGACGCCGCGUGGGGGAUGAAGGCCCUCGGGUCGUAAACCUCUGUGUUACGGGAUGAAUUGAGCGUUGCUGAUAACGCAGCGUUUUUGACGUUACCGUAGUAGAAAGCCCCAGCUAACUACGUGCCAGCAGCUGCGGUAAUACGUAGGGGGCAAGCGUUGUCCGGAAUCACUGGGCGUAAAGCGCGCGCAGGCGGUGGCGUAAGUCAGACGUGAAAGGGUUCGGCUCAACCGAACCACUGCGUUUGAUACUGCAUCACUUGAGUCUAGAAGAGGAAAGUGGAAUGUAUGGUGUAGCGGUGGAAUGCUUAGAUAUCAUAUAGAACACCUGUGGCGAAGGCGGCUUUCUGGUCUAAGGCUGACGCACAUGCGCGAAAGUUUGGGGAGCAACCGGGAUUAGAUACCCCGCUAGUCCUUACUGUAAACGAUGGGUACUAAGUGUAGGGGGUGUUGAUUCCCUCUGUGCUGUAGCUAACGCAUUAAGUACCCCGCCUGGGGAGUACGG
Molecule: ribosomal RNA, 663 nt
Filed under: uncultured Actinomycetes bacterium
Lineage: Bacteria; Bacillati; Actinomycetota; Actinomycetes
Description: bacterial SSU rRNA
Rfam family: Bacterial small subunit ribosomal RNA
Source: RNAcentral